This 530-nucleotide ribosomal RNA is filed under the name uncultured bacterium. RNAcentral describes it as "bacterial SSU rRNA". It matches the Rfam family "Bacterial small subunit ribosomal RNA", at positions 777 to 1307 of the family's 1533-position model. The record is from RNAcentral.
AAUAGAUACCCAGGUAGUCCACGCCGUAAACGUUGGGCGCUAGGUGUGGGGCCCAUUCCACGAGAUCCGUGCCGCAGCUAACGCAUUAAGUUCCCCGCCUGGGGAGUACGGCCGCAAGGCUAAAACUCAAAGGAAUUGACGGGGGCCCGCACAAGCGGCGGAGCAUGCGGAUUAAUUCGAUGCAACGCGAAGAACCUUACCAAGGCUUGACAUACACCGGAAUCACUCAGAGAUGGGUGCGUCUUCGGACUGGUGUACAGGUGGUGCAUGGUUGUCGUCAGCUCGUGUCGUGAGAUGUUGGGUUAAGUCCCGCAACGAGCGCAACCCUUGCCCUAUGUUGCCAGCGGGUAAUGCCGGGGACUCGUAGGAGACUGCCGGGGUCAACUCGGAGGAAGGUGGGGACGACGUCAAGUCAUCAUGCCCCUUAUAUCCAGGGCUGCAAACAUGCUACAAUGGCCGGUACAGAGGGCUGCAAUCCCGCGAGGGUGAGCGAAUCCCAAAAAGCCGGUCUCAGUUCGGAUCGCAGUCUG